GAGUUUUUGCAAAAGAGGUCCUUAGUCUCUCUUUCGGCAGGAGCCCUCAACAGAAAACAAAAAAAAAACUCCCUCCCUUAUUCACUCUCGAGCUCUCUCUUGAGCAGAGGGGACGAAAAAAAUAACACUCCCUCUCAAUUCUCUCUCGGCUGGGGACUUGGACAGAAAAGACGCAAGAAGAAAAAAGGAAAACAUUCUUGGCUCUCUAUUUGCUCUCAACCAGAACAACACACACCAACAGAGAGGACUUUAACAAAAAGAACUCCAGCAGCUAUCGGUUAGGCUAUUGGAACUUGGCAAUUUCACAAAAAAAAAAACUCUGGCCAGGGGAUCAAUCUCUUCGUUGAGGUUUACCAACUUGUAUCAUUAGGGGGUACAAGGAGGAACAAGUAGCUGCUAUUUUCCUGCCUCCAGUGAUAUCAAACUUGACUUGAAGCAUGUGUACAGGAAGGGCUGCUUUUCGUGUUUGUUUUUUCCAUGGCAAUCUCAUGGCUGCUCUUGGCCUGUGAUCCUUUGUACUUGUACCAGGUAGCACAAAUCAUGAAGUAUCCGAAGUUUAUGACCUCCAAAGCAGCGAUCAGGUAGUAAAAGUAAUCCAAUCUUGCCUUGUUGAGGUCUUGAUCUAGCCAACUUCCUCCUGAUGCAUCUUUGGUCACCUUGUGGACAACUGUUAUUAUUAAGCUGCACAAAUAAUUAGACGAUGCGAAACCACAAAACAAGCAAGAUCCAGCAAAACUUCUCAUGUUUUCAGGGAACUGUUUGUAGAAGAAUUCAAUUUGAGCAAUGAGAGUAAAGCCUUCUGAAAUCCCUGAUAGGGCCAUCUGAGGUAUGAACCAAGAGGCACUCAAGGAAGAAAUUUUGCCUUUUCUCGGUGCAACGCCUAUUGUUGGCUCAGUAAGAGCUACUCUUCUCCUCCACUCUUCCACUGCACCAGAUAGGAUCAUGGUGGCUAUUCCAACUAUAAUGCCAAAGCCCAUUCUUUGAAGGAUAGUGAUGCCAUUUUCUUCCUUGGUAAUUUUUCGUAAACAUGGAAUCAUGAUCCUGUCAUAUAUGGGUAUCCAUAUCGUAAGGCUCAACAUCUGAAAGAUUUGGUAAGAUGCUGCUGGAAUUUUGAAGCUGGCAUGUCCUACUCUUCUAUCGGCUUGUGUCGCUUGGAAAACUACAAAAGUCUGCAGCUGGUUCAGGACAACGUAAUAUAUGAUGCCGGCAAUCCAUAUUGGAAGCACUCUAACCACACACUUCAUUUCUUCCACCUGCUGAAUAGUGCAAAGUUUCCAAGGAUUGGAUGCUGAGCCAUCGCUGUUGAUACGAUCUUCAGAUGUUAUGAUUGCUGCUCUGUUGAGAAACCUGAGGGGUUUUAUGCUGCUUGUUAAAGGUAGAAUGAAAGGAGCAUUUACUUUAGAAGUGUUAAAAACUGAAUAAAGUCUCAUUUUUUCGAGAACAUUGAAGAAGCUGGGAGUCUUUUAAGACAUUACCUGAAUUGAUCGGUGUAUGGAAGCUUUGAGUUAGUCGAGUUCGGGGAAAUGUAAUCAAAGAGAGACUCCGAUGGCUGAUCUGGUAAAUGCAAUUGCCUCUUUUUGCUUGCCGCCA
Molecule: non-coding RNA, 1590 nt
Organism: Coffea arabica (coffee)
Lineage: Eukaryota; Viridiplantae; Streptophyta; Magnoliopsida; Gentianales; Rubiaceae
Source: RefSeq, a predicted model, not a curated record